This 162-nucleotide ribosomal RNA is filed under the name Noctiluca scintillans. The record is from RNAcentral. Lineage: Eukaryota; Dinophyceae; Noctilucales; Noctilucaceae.
GGAUUGGCUCUGAGGAGUGGGUGCAAGGGUCCUUGUCUUAAGGUUUGAGCUGCUCGGAAGCUGCUUGCUCUCGGUGUCGAGUGGAUUCACUUUGGUGACAAUUGAUGGACAGGGAAUGCUUCUCGAAGCUUUCCUUGUGCGAUGACCCACCAACUCAGAACU